RNAcentral lists this ribosomal RNA (490 nucleotides) under uncultured bacterium. Its description in RNAcentral is "partial 16S ribosomal RNA". It matches the Rfam family "Bacterial small subunit ribosomal RNA", at positions 30 to 507 of the family's 1533-position model. The record is from RNAcentral.
AUUGAACGCUGGCGGCAUGCCUUACACAUGCAAGUCGAACGGCAGCAUGAUCUAGCUUGCUAGAUUGAUGGCGAGUGGCGAACGGGUGAGUCAUACAUCGGAACGUGCCCUGUAGUGGGGGAUAACUAGUCGAAAGAUUAGCUAAUACCGCAUACGACCUGAGGGUGAAAGUGGGGGACCGCAAGGCCUCAUGCUAUAGGAGCGGCCGAUGUCUGAUUAGCUAGUUGGUGAGGUAAAGGCUCACCAAGGCGACGAUCAGUAGCUGGUCUGAGAGGACGAUCAGCCACACUGGAACUGAGACACGGCCCAGACUCCUACGGGAGGCAGCAGUGGGGAAUUUUGGACAAUGGGCGAAAGCCUGAUCCAGCAAUGCCGCGUGUGUGAAGAAGGCCUUCGGGUUGUAAAGCACUUUUGUCCGGAAAGAAAUGGCUCUGGUUAAUACCUGGGGUCGAUGACGGUACCGGAAGAAUAAGGACCGGCUAACUACGUG